GACGAACGCUGGCGGCGUGCCUAAUACAUGCAAGUCGAGCGGACUUUCAAGAAGCUUGCUUUUUGAAAGUUAGCGGCGGACGGGUGAGUAACACGUGGGCAACCUGCCUGUAAGACGGGGAUAACUCCGGGAAACCGGGGCUAAUACCGGAUAAUAUCUUUCUUCGCAUGAAGGAAGGUUGAAAGGCGGCGCAAGCUGCCGCUUGCAGAUGGGCCCGCGGCGCAUGAGCUAGUUGGUGAGGUAACGGCUCCCCAAGGCGACGAUGCGUAGCCGACCUGGGAGGGGGAUCGGCCACAGUGGGUCUGAGACACGGCUCAGACUCCUACGGGAGGCAGCAGUAUGGGAUCGUCCGCAAUGGACGAAAGUCUGACGGAGCAACGCCGCGUGAGCGAAGAAGGUCUUCAGAUCGGAAAGCUCUGUUGUCAGGGAAGAACAAGUACCGUUCGCAUAGGGCGGUACCUUGACGGUACCUGACCAGAAAGCCACGGCUAACUACGUGCCAGCCGCCGCGGUAA
This 515-nucleotide ribosomal RNA is filed under the name uncultured bacterium. RNAcentral describes it as "partial 16S ribosomal RNA". It matches the Rfam family "Bacterial small subunit ribosomal RNA", at positions 28 to 523 of the family's 1533-position model. The record is from RNAcentral.